RNAcentral lists this long non-coding RNA (336 nucleotides) under Mus musculus (house mouse). RNAcentral describes it as "predicted gene, 47360". The record is from RNAcentral. Lineage: Eukaryota; Metazoa; Chordata; Mammalia; Rodentia; Muridae.
UUUCUGUGAAGCAGGCAAUUCAGGUAAGGUCUUACUAUGCUGGAAGAUGGGACGAGGAGCUAGCUGCGUGUUCGUGGGACGUCACUGACGCAGAGCCUACGGGUGUGAGGUCUCGUUUAGUGAGUCACAUUGCCAGGACAUCACUCGAGAAGGGAGCCCUAGGUGCAGGAGGUAUGUGCAGUGUGAACAUUAGGGCUUUGCAUCGCUUCACCUCUGUGUGAUGUUUCUUUCACUGCCUUUGGAUCAAGACGUAGAACUCCCCGCUCCUUCUCUAGCACCACAUCUGCCUGCUGCCAUGCUUCCCGCCAUGACGAUAAUGCACUAAACCUCUGAACU